RNAcentral lists this ribosomal RNA (253 nucleotides) under uncultured bacterium. Its description in RNAcentral is "partial 16S ribosomal RNA". It matches the Rfam family "Bacterial small subunit ribosomal RNA", at positions 524 to 776 of the family's 1533-position model. The record is from RNAcentral.
UACGAAGGGGGCUAGCGUUGUUCGGAAUUACUGGGCGUAAAGCGCACGUAGGCGGACUAUUAAGUCAGGGGUGAAAUCCCGGGGCUCAACCCCGGAACUGCCUUUGAUACUGGUAGUCUCGAGUCCGGAAGAGGUGAGUGGAAUUCCGAGUGUAGAGGUGAAAUUCGUAGAUAUUCGGAGGAACACCAGUGGCGAAGGCGGCUCACUGGCCCGUUACCGACGCUCAGGCGCGACAGCGUGGGGAGCAAACAGG